GACGAACGCUGGCGGCGUGCCUAAUACAUGCAAGUCGAACGAGAGCGACCGGUGCUUGCACUGGCCAAUCUGGUGGCGAACGGGUGAGUAACACGUGGGUAACCUGCCCAUCAGAGGGGGAUAACAUUCGGAAACGGAUGCUAAAACCGCAUAGGUCUUCGAACCGCAUGGUUUGAAGAGGAAAAGAGGCGCAAGCUUCUGCUGAUGGAUGGACCCGCGGUGCAUUAGCUAGUUGGUGAGGUAACGGCUCACCAAGGCCGUGAUGCAUAGCCGACCUGAGAGGGUGAUCGGCCACAUUGGGACUGAGACACGGCCCAAACUCCUACGGGAGGCAGCAGUAGGGAAUCUUCCGCAAUGGACGCAAGUCUGACGGAGCAACGCCGCGUGAGUGAAGAAGGUUUUCGGAUCGUAAAACUCUGUUGUUAGAGAAGAACAAGUGCUAGAGUAACUGUUAGCGCCUUGACGGUAUCUAACCAGAAAGCCACGGCUAACUACGUG
RNAcentral lists this ribosomal RNA (498 nucleotides) under uncultured bacterium. RNAcentral's name for it is "partial 16S ribosomal RNA". It matches the Rfam family "Bacterial small subunit ribosomal RNA", at positions 28 to 507 of the family's 1533-position model. The record is from RNAcentral.